Molecule: RNA transcript, 1340 nt
Organism: Sapajus apella (tufted capuchin)
Lineage: Eukaryota; Metazoa; Chordata; Mammalia; Primates; Cebidae
Gene name: heat shock protein HSP 90-beta-like
Exons: 2
Source: RefSeq, a predicted model, not a curated record
UGUGAUGAGUUGAUACCAGAGUAUCUCAACUUUAUCCGUGGUAUGGUGGACUCUGAGGAUUUGCCUCUGAACAUCUCCUGAGAAAUGCUCCAGCAGAGCAAAAUCCUGAAAGUCAUUCGCAAAAACAUUGUUAAGAAGUGCCUUGAGCUCUUCUCUGAGCUGGCGGAAGACAAGGAGAAUUACAAGAAAUUCUAUGAGGCAUUCUUUAAAAAUCUCAAGCUUGGAAUUCAUGAGGAUUCCACUAACCGACGCCACCUGUCUGAGCUGCUGCGCUAUCCCACCUCCCAGUCUGGAGAUGAGAUGACAUCUCUGUCAGAGUAUGUUUCUCGCAUGGAGACACAGAAGUCCAUCUAUUACAUCACUGGUGAGAGCAAAGAGCAGGUGGCCGACUCAGCUUUUGUGGAGCAAGUGCGGAAGAAGGGCUUCGAGGUGGUAUAUAUGACUGAGCCCAUUGAUGAAUACUGUGUGCAGCAGCUAAAGGAGUUUGAUGGGAAGAGCCUAGUCUCAGUUACCAAUGAGGGUCUGGAGCUACCGGAGGAUGAGGAGGAAAAGAAGAAAACGGAAGAGAGCAAGGCAAAGUUUGAGAACCUCUGCAAGCUCAUGAAAGAAAUCUUAGAUAAGAAGGUUGAGAAGGUGACAAUCUCCAAUAGGCUUGUGUCUUCACCCUGCUGCAUUGUGACCAGCACCUACGGCUGGACAGCCAAUAUGGGGCAGAUCAUGAAAGCCCAGGCAGUUCGGGACAACUCCAUCAUGGGCUACACGAUGGCCAAAAAGCGCCUGGAGAUCAACCCUGACCACCCAUUGUGGAGAUGCUGCAGCAGAAGGCUGAGGCAGGCAAGAAUGAGAAGGGAGUCAAGGACCUUGUGGUGCUGCUGUUUGAAACCUCCCUGCUCUCUUCUGGCUUUUCCCUUGAGGAUCCCCCGACCUACUCCAACCGCAUCUACCGCAUGAUCAAGUUAGGUCUAGGUAUCGAUGAAGAUGAAGUGGCAGCAGAGGAACCCAGUGCUGCAGCUUCUGAUGAGAUCCCUCCUCUUGAGGGUGAUGAGGAUGUGUCUCACAUGGAAGUAGUAGAUUAGGAGUUCAUAGUUGGAAAACUGCCCUGGUAUAGUGUCCUCAUGGCUCCCCCUGCAGCCUUGAGUGCCCCGACCCACCUGGCUCCCCCUGCUGAUGUCUAGUGUUUUUUUUCUCUCCUGUCCUUCAGUUGAAGGCAGGAAACAAGGGUGUCAAGCCCCUAUUCUUUCCCUACUCUGACAGCAGGAUUGGAUGUUGUGUAUUGUGGUUUUUUAUUUUGUUUGUUCAUUUUGUUCUGAAAUUAAAGUAUGCAAAAUAAAGAAAAGAAA